This 24-nucleotide microRNA is filed under the name Branchiostoma floridae (Florida lancelet). RNAcentral describes it as "Bfl-Mir-34-P6b_3p* (star (passenger))". Lineage: Eukaryota; Metazoa; Chordata; Leptocardii; Amphioxiformes; Branchiostomatidae. The record is from RNAcentral.
ACAGCCACUGUACACACUCCCGUA